Molecule: ribosomal RNA, 253 nt
Filed under: uncultured bacterium
Lineage: Bacteria
Description: partial 16S ribosomal RNA
Rfam family: Bacterial small subunit ribosomal RNA
Source: RNAcentral
UACGUAGGGUGCAAGCGUUGCCCGGAUUUAUUGGGCGUAAAGGGCGCGUAGGCGGCUCGGCACGUCCGUUGUGAAAUCGCCCGGCUCAACUGGGCGGGGUCAGCGGAUACGGCCGAGCUUGAGCAAGCUAGGGGGCAAUGGAAUUCCCGGUGUAGUGGUGGAAUGCGUAGAUAUCGGGAGGAACACCAGUGGCGAAGGCGGCAUCCUGGACCAACACUGACACUGAGGAGCGAAAGCCAGGGGAGCAAACGGG